This 829-nucleotide ribosomal RNA is filed under the name Pleurocordyceps phaothaiensis. RNAcentral's name for it is "LSU rRNA". It matches the Rfam family "Eukaryotic large subunit ribosomal RNA", at positions 114 to 962 of the family's 3401-position model. The record is from RNAcentral. Lineage: Eukaryota; Fungi; Ascomycota; Sordariomycetes; Hypocreales; Polycephalomycetaceae.
UUUGAAAUCUGGCCCCCUUCGCGGAGGUCCGAGUUGUAAUUUGCAGAGGAUGCUUCUGGCGCGGCGCCUUCCGAGUUCCCUGGAACGGGACGCCACAGAGGGUGAGAGCCCCGUCCGGUCGGACGCCUAGCCUGUGUGAAGCACCUUCGACGAGUCGGGUAGUUUGGGAAUGCUGCCCUAAAUGGGAGGUAUAUGUCUUCUAAAGCUAAAUACCGGCCAGAGACCGAUAGCGCACAAGUAGAGUGAUCGAAAGAUGAAAAGCACUUUGAAAAGAGGGUUAAACAGUACGUGAAAUUGUUGAAAGGGAAGCGCUCAUGACCAGACUUGGGCCCGGGGGAUCACCCGGCGUUCUUCGCCGGGGCACUUCGCCGGCUGCCCAGGCCAGCAUCAGUUCGUGGCGGGGGACAAAGGCUUCGGGAACGUGGCUCCCUACGGGGAGUGUUAUAGCCCGCUGCGCAAUGCCCUGCCGCGGACUGAGGUUCGCGCUUCCGCAAGGAUGCUGGCGUAAUGGUCAUCAGCGACCCGUCUUGAAACACGGACCAAGGAGUCGUCUUCGUAUGCGAGUGUUCGGGUGUCAAACCCCUACGCGUAAUGAAAGUGAACGCAGGUGAGAGCUUCGGCGCAUCACCGACCGAUCCUGAUGUUCUCGGAUGGAUUUGAGUACGAGCAUACGGGGCCGGACCCGAAAGAAGGUGAACUAUGCCUGUAUAGGGUGAAGCCAGAGGAAACUCUGGUGGAGGCUCGCAGCGGUUCUGACGUGCAAAUCGAUCGUCAAAUAUGGGCAUGGGGGCGAAAGACUAAUCGAACCUUCUAGUAGCUGGUUUCCGCC